AGAGUUUGAUCUUGGUUCCAGGAUAAACGCUUAGCGGCAGGCUUAACACAUGCAAGUCGAGGGGCAGCAUGUCCAGCAAUGGAUGAUGGCGACCGGCGAAAGGGUGCGUAACGCGUGAGCAACAUGCCCUAUACAGGGAGAUACACCAGGGAAACUUGGUCUAAUAUCCCAUAGCAUUCAUUGAAGGCAUCUUUAAUGAAUUAAAGCUUCGGUGGUAUAGGAUUGGCUCGCGUGACAUUAGCCAGAUGGUGAGGUAACGGCCCACCAUAGCAAUGAUGUCUAGGGGUUUUGAGAGGAAGGCCCCCCACACUGGGACUGAGACACGGCCCAGACUCCUACGGGAGGCAGCAGUGAGGAAUAUUGGACAAUGGAUGGAAAUCUGAUCCAGCCAUGCCGCGUGCAGGAAGACGGCCUUAUGGGUUGUAUACUGCUUUUAUACGGGAGCAAUAAGGGUUACGAGUAAUCCGAUGAGAGUACUGUAUGAAUAAGGAUCGGCUAACUCCGUGCCAGCAGCCGCGGUAAUACGGAGGAUCCGAGCGUUAUCCGGAAUUAUUGGGUUUAAAGGGUGCGUAGGCGGCCAUUUAAGUCAGCGGUGAAAUUUUGCAGCUUAACUGUAACAGUGCCGUUGAUACUGUUUGGCUAGGAUUUGGUUGUAGUGUGCGGAAUGUGUGGUGUAGCGGUGAAAUGCUUAGAUAUCACACAGAACACCGAUUGCGAAGGCAGCACACUAAGUCAUUAUUGACGCUGAGGCACGAAAGUGUGGGGAUCAAACAGGAUUAGAUACCCUGGUAGUCCACACUGUAAACGAUGAUAACUCGCUGUCGGCGAUACACAGUCGGGGCCAAGCGAAAGC
This 853-nucleotide ribosomal RNA is filed under the name uncultured bacterium. RNAcentral's name for it is "bacterial SSU rRNA". It matches the Rfam family "Bacterial small subunit ribosomal RNA", at positions 8 to 858 of the family's 1533-position model. The record is from RNAcentral.